Molecule: ribosomal RNA, 500 nt
Filed under: uncultured Actinomycetes bacterium
Lineage: Bacteria; Bacillati; Actinomycetota; Actinomycetes
Description: bacterial SSU rRNA
Rfam family: Bacterial small subunit ribosomal RNA
Source: RNAcentral
AGAGUUUGAUCCUGGCUCAGGACGAACGCUGGCGGCGUGCUUAACACAUGCAAGUCGAGCGGUAAGGCUCCUUCGGGAGUACACGAGCGGCGAACGGGUGAGUAACACGUGAGCAAUCUGCCCUUCACAUCGGGAUAACUCCGGGAAACCGGUGCUAAUACCGAAUACGACCACUUCAGGCAUCUGAUGGUGGUGGAAAGUUCCGGCGGUGAAGGAUGAGCUCGCGGCCUAUCAGCUUGUUGGUGGGGUAACGGCCCACCAAGGCAACGACGGGUAGCCGGCCUGAGAGGGUGACCGGCCACACUGGGACUGAGACACGGCCCAGACUCCUACGGGAGGCAGCAGUGGGGAAUAUUGGACAAUGGGCGAAAGCCUGAUCCAGCAACGCCGCGUGAGGGAUGACGGCCUUCGGGUUGUAAACCUCUUUCAGCAGGGACGAAGCGCAAGUGACGGUACCUGCAGAAGAAGCACCGGCCAACUACGUGCCAGCAGCCGCGGUA